Long non-coding RNA from Gorilla gorilla gorilla (western lowland gorilla), 11549 nucleotides. RefSeq lists it as uncharacterized. Lineage: Eukaryota; Metazoa; Chordata; Mammalia; Primates; Hominidae. The transcript has 6 exons. The record is from RefSeq and is a predicted model, not a curated record.
CAGGCAACCUAGAGAACCUAGAGAAGGACCCUGUUCUAGAUACUUCAUUUCACAGGCAACCUAGAGAACCUAGAGAAGGACCCUGUUCUAGAUACUUCAUUUCACAGGUAAAGACACUGAGACCCAGAAAAAUGAUCAUCCUUGUUAUGUAAUGAAAGGCCAAGCUGGUGCCAGAGUCUAGGAACCCCAUUGCUCUGGCCCAUCCUCCUUUCCUAUCCCUGCCCCAGUUUCCUUCCCACCAGUUGAUGCUGCAGGGGCCCUCAACUCCACAGAUAAGCCUAAACUUUGCCCCAAGACAUUGAACUUCUUCCCUUCCUAGACUGGUCUUGUGAAAUAUUCAGAAACAGGAAAUUGGCUUUAUUGAUGACUUUCCUUCCCUUCCCAAUUCAGUUCAGCAAACAAUAAACUGAAACAAGAAUAAAUAAAAUAAAUAGGGAAGAGAAGACAAUAAUAAUCAGAACUAUUUCUUGACUGUGAAAAGACCGUAAUGAAAUAAGGAAAUAAGAUCCCUUAAGAAUUCUAUUGGCCAGGCACAGUGGCUGCUCACACCUACAAUGCCAGCACUUUGGGAGACAGAGUCCAGCACAUUGCUUGAAUGCAGGAGUUUGAGACCAGACUGAGCAACAGGGCAAAACUCUGUUUCCAAAAAAAAAAAUUAGCCUCAGUUAUUCGGGAGGCUGAGGUGGGAGGGUCACCUGGGCCUGGGAGGUCAAGACUGCAGUGAGCAGAGAUCACGCCACUGCACCUCCAGCCAGGGUGACACGGGGAAAUCCUGUCUCAAAAACAAAAACAAAAACAAACAAACAAAAAAGAAUUCCACCAGUGGGUGUUUUCCCCUAUUUUCUAGAUGGAGAAGCAGAAUUGAAGAGGCACUCAGGAAAUGACUGGAGAAAUAUGACCAAUGAUAUAGCAAAUAUACCUACAAUUACUCACAGGAGUCACUAAAGCAGGUUUUACUCCUUUGUAGAUGUCUCUUCCUUGUAGCUCAAAGCAUCAGUUCCUAAUGGCAUAUGUCUUUCUUCUUUCAUCUAAUAUACCAUGAGAAUAAUAACAGUAGUAGUUUCAGAAAUACCGAAUUACAUUUAUGCAAUACUGUAAAAUUUACAAAGUUGAGCAUACGAAUUCAUGUUUGAAAAAAUAUUAAUUCUGAAGAAGUGAUUAGUCAGGUAGGAUGACAGGAUUUGGAAAUGAGGGAGUGAGUAUUGGUCAUAAAUGAACAAAUAUCUCAUUGGGCAUGUUGGAGGUCCUGCUCUUGGAGAAAAGCUGCCAUUCCACACUGCAAUACUCUGGAAUGCCUCAGAACCUUCCUUUGCAAAUUAGAACAGGGAUAGAGGGCAGGGUCAUUCAGAAUUUGGAGCUAAUUAGAUCAUCUAGCCAAUAGGAGAAAUGUUAGAAAGAACGGACACUUUUGUUGUAAUCCUAACUUGCAUCAUGCACUGGUUUUGUGAACAGGCCCAAAGAACUCCUUGAAGGGAACAUGACACAAACCUCAGUGGAAGCUAUUUAGCUCUGUUCCCAGGACCCUGCCAACAGCCUAGUGCCAGCGAAAACUGUCUCUGUCCCCACAAGUCCAGCACUUGGCAGGCGCCACCUGACCCUCUGCCUUGAGUUCAGAAAAGAUUUUUUUAAUUCACAUACUGUAAAAUUCACCUGUUUAAAUUGUACGAUUCAGUGGUUUUAGUAUAUUAACAGAGUUAUAAGACUAUCAUCAUUAUCUAAUUCCAGAACCUUUUUGUCACCUCAAGAAAACCUCAUACCCAUUGGCAAUCACUGCUAAUUCCCUUCCUUCUGCCCUCUGUGCCCUGGCAACCACUCAUCUUUUUGUGUCUACAGAUUUUCCUAUUCUGGACAUUUCAUAUAAAUGGAGUCAUGCAAUAUGUUGUUUUGUGCGUGUGGCUUCUUUCCUUUAAUGUCUUACAGUUUAUUCAUGUUGUAGCUUAUGUCAGUACUUCAUUCUUUUCUACAACUGAGUAAUAGUCCAUUAUAUGCAUAUAGCACCUUUUGUUUACCUCUUCAUCUGUUCAUGCUUUCAGAAGGAUCUUGGUACUAGUCUGAGCUGAACUUGAAAGCUAUAGACAAUGAGUUUUUUUUCCAUCUCCUAACAUAGUAAAAAUUAGUGUUUUAGGAAGAUUACUUUGGUGGGCCCAUAAAGACCAGAUCUACGGUGAGGCAGAGAUGGAGGAUGAUGAAAUUUGGAGCCUCAUUCUAUUAAAUUGGAGAGAAAAGUCAAGGUCACCAAGGGAAUCUUUGUGCAAGAAGCAGACUCAUUCUCAUUCUCUCUCUCCUCUCUCUCUCUCUCUCUCUCUCUCUCUCCCAUCUGUCUCCAGUUCUGACCAUAAAGCCAUAAGGCCACAGGCUUUUAAGAGUGGCUAUCCUGGGGUUGAGGGCCCAGUGGUGGUUGCAACCUUGUCUCAUAUUUCUCCUGGCAGCUCUGUUGAAAAUCAGCCGACCACACUCCUUCCUGGAACAUGCAUCGCUGAGAAUUGCCUCUUGCACAAUUGUCUGCCAAACCCCGUUGUUAAUGAAAUGAAUGAUUUAGUUAUCCUUGUUAGUAAUGGCCCACACUGCACAAAGACCCAUUAUUGCAUCCAUGAGGCUGGCAGGAGUGCCGGCCAAGGCACCUGUGAGCGAUUCUUACAAUUAGCUCUCUUAUCAGCUUGAUUGGAGAGGAGAAGGCUGCCAGUGGCCACAGGGGUGCAGCCUGUCCCCUGCAUGGUCCCCACGAUGCAUCAAGAGCUGGGAGCAUCUAGGGGCAAAAUAAGAAAUGAAGCCAGGACUGAGCUCUUCAUUUGCCAAUUUUGACCUGCAAAGCCUGGGGCCGCUUCCCCCAGCACAGGGGACGGACAGCCUGAAGGACUGUGGGGACAUGCAUCAUGUCAGGUUUCCUUGGGUCCAGGGAGCAGCUCGGCUGGCCGGCAGAUGAGGUACCUUGAAGCAUAUUGGGGUAUCCUAUUAAUAAAACACCUCUCCCCAUCACACACCAUGGCACAGCUCCUCCCCCUCCCUCAACUCCUCUGCCAAAGAGAACAUCUUUCCUUUGCUGGUAAUACUGGGUUUGUGCUCCCCUCCCUCCUCGCUCCCCAGUAGUGGCUGUACAGUACUGCUCCUUCGUUUCCUGUUAGGCCCGAUCUUCCUCUAGUGCUCAUUCCUGCUGCUUUUCAAGGGAAGGGAGAACACGAGCAAGAAAAGUAGACAGAAAUGGGCAUGACUGGAGCAAGUAGAACUGAUCAAGGUAAAUAGAGACAUAAACAGAGAAAGUAAUUUGAAGGACAUUGUGUUAACACACACAAGAAUGUGUACACACACACACACACACUUGCACAUACACAUUUCAUCUUGUCUUCUGGACGAUGACAUUCAGGAAUAAGUUCUUCAGUUUGGGAAAUAGCUGCCCAGAGCUGUGACUGAGAAAUGUGUUUCAGCUUAAAGAGACUAGACUAACAUGUGGUUAAGGGACUCUUGCGAAAUGAGCAGAAUCAAGCGUGCACUGAGUGUGCACAGAGGCAGGUAUUAGAGGCUGUGUAACAGGGUGGGUGGUCUGUGCAUUGACCUGGCUUCACUCCUUUGACUGGUUGUGACUCUGCAUAAGCCAUUCAAUCCACAGCAAAAGAUAGAUGCUUGAAAACUGCUUUCAUACAUACAGAUUUAUUCAUGUUGACAACCUCUGCAUGCCACUCAGUAAAAAUUUCCAGGCUACUUACAAUAAUAGCAAAACAGAAGGAUAAACUAAAUUAUGUCAGAGGAAUAUACUAUGUAAAAAAUAUAAUAAAAUUAAAGAUGAGAUUAACACCUGAAAAUCUCUCUAUUAUGACUUGAGGGCCUACUAAUUUGGCCCUGAGAGGUGUGGCCCUUCCUAAUUUUGACAGUGAGAAAUAUAUCGCCCUGGGUCCUGAUAUAGAGGACCUGUAGAGGCAGAGGGCAGUGCCCUGGAUAACGCCCCUCCAGUGGGGAAAGAAAAGACCCCAUUAUGACCGCUACAUCCCUCUCGGAAGAUGGCAGGGGAGGCCAGCACUCCCGCCAGUACACACCAGAGUAUCGUGGCCCAAAUUAUCCAGCUUCAAUUUCACUGUCUAUACCAGGCAUGUUCAAUGACUUAUAAAAAGCAGUGAUACUCUUCUAGUCCAAUAAAAUCUUGCACAAGCACAGAGAAAACAGGGCGGGUGGGUCAUUGUUUCAGAGGGGGAAGGGCUGACCAUUUUCUUAGGGCCUCUCUUUCCCCACGCAGAGACUGGUGAGGCCUGAUGAGGCACCUUUGCUCUGAAUCCCAAGCAUCUGAAAACCCCUUGUCCCAUCUAGGUGAAAGGAUAGAUAUCAGAAAGGAAGGGGGGAGGGAGGGAAGAAAUAGAGGAAUGAAGGGAAGGAGGAAAGAAUGUUGGUUUUCAUUGCCACUUGCACAGGAUUCUUGUGGGAGCCAGUAGGGAAGUUGCUAUUUUGAAUCGGAUAAAUUGGGGCUUCCUCUUCUUGUUCAUCAAGACCACUCUUUGGCUCAUUUCAUCCCAAUAAAACAAACCACGACACACUAAGAGACUGAAGAGACCGUACAGUGCACUUUUAAGUGUCUGGGCUCCAAACCAAACUGCCUGGGUUUGAAUCCUGGCCCUGCUACUUAUCACUGUGUGAUACUGGACAAGUUACUUAACCUCUCUGUGCCUGUUUUCUCAUCUGCAGAAAUAGGUGCUGAUAGUACCUGCCUCAUGGGAGUAUUGUGAGGAGAAAAUGUGUUAGCAUGGGUACGAUGUUUAGAAUGGCGUUUGCCACAUGGUCUGGGAAUAAAUGUCAGCCGUUAUUAUGUUGUGGGUAUGUAAAUACACUACUCCUUGUAAUGUCAGUUUUUGCCCAUACAAUUUCCAGCCCUCUGCCCUCAGGUGAGCCGGCCUGUCUCAUCUCAGGGCCUCAUGGUGGCUUAGCUCACCCAGCAGUGGGAGCAGGUGGCUGAGCUGCAGCCAGGGUUCUGUGAGCGCGGUGGGUUGAGGAGGGAAAGGAAUGAGGUUCGGAGUCCUUUUGUUGUUUUGCUUGGGUCAGAAGGAAUCUGUGGUAGCAUGCAGUCAUGAUCUUAUUGUACAGCUGCAGGAUGUUGGUAGACAAACUUCUCCCUAAUAUAUAUGAUCUAUAAGCCCAAACGGCCUUUAAUAGGGGGCGGUCACAGGAGGUCAGCGGCCUCCUCCUUCACAGCAGCUAUGUGAUGUGGCUGAGCUCUGAGAAAGAGCACUUGGCUGUGGUGCAACUGGCCUAGAAUUCAUAGCCCCAUUCUCUUGAUCUGAGUUGCUUCUGGGGGAUGAGCGUGGCACCACAGCGUCUCAGGUGCUAUAUAGGGGACUUCCCAAGAGUUGCCCGUAUCAGUUGUAAGGUGCUGUCUACAUGAGGGAAUGGUUUUAUGAAGACACAAGGGAGAGUUACCAGCAGAGUGAUGGCCAAAGCUUUGAGCUAGAUGGUUUUCAUCUUCCUGAAACAUCACCCUAGGGUUUUCCUGAUGUUUCCAUCAAUCUGUUAAGUGCAGUGUGUGGUCGUGUCCCUCAGGGACUUGCCCAUUUACUCUGGAAGACCAAAUUUAUAGGCUACACUCUGGGUGCAGACAGUGCUAGUCCUGUGGGGAGUUGGGAAAAAGGAGUGGGAGGCUUUGUGGCCGAGGAGGGGCUUCAGGGCAGCAAGGAUGACGGCUGGGUUUGAACAGUCAGUGGAGAAGGAAGUGCGGAAAAGCCAGAGAAGUAGACAUGGAUGUGUGCAUGCCAGAGAGGGCAGGCAGACAGGGUUCAUGGAGGGGGCAGAAGCAGCACAUUGACCUCUGCUUCUGCCAGAAGAUCAGAGGGGAUAUCAGGGGGGUGGUCUGGCCAGAGUAAGGGCAGCCUUGAAGCCCCAGUGGAAUAAUUUUGACUUGAUUCUAUGGAAAAUGACAUACGACAGUGUAGGAGGGCUUGUCUUCUAACUGAAACCAGCUGGGAAUCUUUCCCGAUAGUCAAGGGCAGGGCAGAGCGAGGGCCUUUGGCAGCAUGUGCAAAUGUACACGCAUGUGACCACUGUGUGUGGCCCAGCACGCUUCUAAACCUACCUUUACCUCCUCCAGUUCUUCAGAUCUCUUAACCCUCUUGUCUGUGAGCAUCAGCAAUCCGGGGCUUACACAGACAACACCACAGUGUGCCAUCUUGUCAGAAGGAGAAACUGAGGCACUCUAUUCUAAAGAGGCUGGUUCUGGGACCUGCCCUUGAAUCACUGUGGAGUAAGACCCAGAGUGUGGGCUGCCAGGCCCCUUCCUUCAGGGAUCUGGCUUCUAAAGUUGGUUCUUUUCCUGUAUCUCAUAAAGAGGGAAAGGAUGGGCCUAAGAGAGGUUAUUUGAACGAAUGGCCAUUGUAAUUGCCUCCUAUCAGGCACAGGUGGAUAGAGGCAGGUGGGGGGAAGAGGGCUGCCUGGAUCUGGGAUUCCCAAUCCCCCAUACUCCUUGGCCUAUUGUUGAGGGGGAGCUAGAGGAGGGGUGCGGACUUAGCAGAUUAAGAAAGAUAAACGCUUACUCUUUAACAGCGGGAAAGAGGGCCGGAAGAGUACGAUUGAAAUCGGAGGCAAGAGGAGUGGCCUAACCUGGUGGAGGCAGGAGAGGCGCGUGUUCUCUACAUGCCUGUCCAAGUCUCUCGUAGGUUGGUCCGUGCUCUGAGGGAACAGUGUGGGCCACAGGCCAUGGGGACACUCUGAGGAUGUGGGUGCUGCCCAUCUUGAAGUUUCUCCCCACCCCCCUCCGGAGCUGCUACCAUUGUCCUUUGCCCUCGGAGUGCUCUCCUCCCACCCCCGCCGCCUCUUGUUCUCUUUCUCCCUUGGGCCAUUAGAAUGGCAGGGAGCCCAGCCAGGGCCUGGACGGUGGCCUCAGCUCCCUGUUCUCAAUAAUUGUGUGUGUGUGCAUGUGUGCAUGUGUACGUGUGAGUGCCUGUGUAUGUGCAUUGUGUGUAGGGGCUGGGGCUGGGGUCAACAACAGAUCAGAGCACAGGAGUAGAGCGCUUCUGGGAGGGUGGGGUCACCCGUGAGUCACGUCCUGCACCCUGGAGCCCAGAGGACCCUUCGCUCAAACCCACCACCAGCUGGCAACACCGGACCAGCCGGAGCCGCUUUCUUCGCUGCCCAGAGGAGCCUGGGAGAAGCCAGAGGUGUAAGUCAAGCAGUGGAGGGACUGGGUGUGGCUGAGCCCCAUGACAAGUGGGAGGAGACAGGGAUGCUUGGGAGGGGAGGCACCGUGCAUGAGAGAGGAGGGAAAGGGGAAGCGUUCGUGCCUCUCUGCCCCCUGUCCCCCUCUUGCUGCAUAGUAGCCACAUCCAUGUCUCUUGUACCCUGCAAUCUGGAGGCCCCUGCCAGAAGUGGGAAAUCCCAAGUACAGCAGCAAAAGGUAUGAGGAUUGGCACAAAGUUGUGGCCAGUGGAGGCUCCCCAAAGUGCAUGGAAGGUGGUGGUCCAGUGUCUAAAGGCAGGAGUGCUGGGGCAACCCCAUAGCUGGGGGUCCUAUGGGAGAGACUGAGGAACUUCGGUUUGUGGACUCUCAGUCAACUGUGUUACUGAGGAGGGGAAAGGGAAGUAGAUGAGUUGGUGGUUUGAACAAGACCCAAAUCUUGCUUCUACUUACAGGUGCUCACAAUGGCUAGUGCCCUGGAAAAGCUCUGGAAUAAAUACACCUGGGCCUUAGAAAGCAGAGGCAGGAGACAAUGCCAUCCAGUGGGAGCUUUCAUUUGUUUCCUCAGCCAGCCUCUGUGUCAGGCUUUUUGGGAACAAGGGCUGGAUGAACAAGACCUUGGGAGUUCCUGUGGGGAGGGACUGGGGGUGAAUGGGCACUGUGGCUGGCCCGGUGAUCACUUCUCCUCUGCUUGUCUAGGCUUGAGGAUGGAUUCUUGGCUCCUGGUGCAUUGCCACUCCCUGCCACCCUCCUCCUUGUCUUCUAUCUUCUCCUGGUGGCUUCAGGCCUUGCUUCGUGUCCCAACAGGAGCCUCUGGGGCUGGCACAGCCCUCACUGCCUACAACCUGGGCCUGGUGGUUCUCCUGGGGUGCCUCUGGGAGGCGAGGAAUUGGUGUCGGCACUUUAUGAGGAUCGGCUCAUCUAAUCCUCAUGAUAGCACUGUUUGAGGCACAGAGGGGUUAAGUAACUUAGCAGGUGGCAAGGCACAGAGGCAGAGUGCAAACCAGGCACCCUGACUGAAGAGCUUGUAGCCUCCUCCUCCAUCUCUUCCGCCUGUUGGUCAUGGCCACCCCGCUGCUGGCUAACUGCAGCUACUUCUGCCAGCCAGUGGACUACAGAUGGAGCAAGCAUGGAAUGAGGGCAUCUUCCUGGAGACAGGAAGGUAGGCAUUGUGGAAUCAGCGGUGCGUAGAACAGCGAGGAUUUGGGGCUGAACCCAGCCCAGGUGGGACAAGCCGUGGCACCAGCCGGACUGCAGUCUGAUGGAACUUCCCCUUCCUGCACAGCAGAUGGCGAGCGUGUGCUGCUGGUGCCUCUUUCCAAAGGACGUUGACUUGCUUGACAGGUGUUCUUUACUUCAUGAAUGAAGCCGGAGCAGCCCACCUUCCUGCAUCUCUACCACCAUGGCACCAUGCCCUGUGAUGGGUGGGCUGGAGUCAAAUACGUAGCAGGCAGCCAGGAUCAGUUUGUGGCCACUGCUGCCCCCUCUUCCUACAGUCUCCUCACUGAGUGCCCAUUCCCUGUUGGGUUCAAUACAUCUGUGCUCCUGUGAGCCCUUAGCCUCUGCAUUCUCUUCCUCAACUUCUACCACCAGACACACCUGAGAGGCAAGCAAGAGAGGCUGAACCAGGAGCAGGACCCAGGGACUGAAACCAGCAUAGCAUCCCCACAGAGAAUUGGGUGGAAGGCAGUGUGGCUUCCAGCUUACUGGUGCUGAGCAGAUUGCUCUGGGUCUCCAUUGUAUCCUUGGAAGGAAGGAGGAGGAUUGCCUCUGUCCAGAUCUCAGGAUCAAACAAAUAGGUCCAACUUCCUGUGCUCACUUCAGUUAGAGCACUUCUCAUGUGACUUUGUAGCUUUGUGUGCAUCUCCUUCCUCUACUAGACCUAAGCCCCUCACGGGAGGGACUCUCUUAUUCUUGAUGUUCCCCACACCUGGAAUUUCAAUAAACAUCUCAAUAAACGUGUGUGUUUGGAUCCUUGGAUCCCAUGACUGCCGUCAUAACCUUGGUGAAGAAGAGGGCUGGGAGUAGGAAAGAGGUCAAGGUUGGCUUGAUCUCUAACCCUAUAGUGGGAAAUUGUGACGGAGAAUAUUCAAGAGUCGGUGUGGGUCUGUUUGAUUUCAGGUAUAGCUGUGUAAAUAGUUAGCCCUGCAUAUAUUUUUGUCUACUCACAACUGCCUGCAUGUGUAUUCAUAGAGUUGUGUGAUUCUGUGUAUGUGCAUGGGGAGUGGGAGAGGGCCAUGUGUACAUGUCUGAAUACUUGUUUUCAAAUAUACAUGCAUGUUUCCAUUUGGGUUUCUCUCCAUUUGUGUUGUUUGCUGGCCUCUUCUGUAAGUCUCUGAAAGUGCCACAUUGGCAAAUAAAAGCCACUGGGAUGAAUAAUUCUCCUGUCCUGAUGGGAGACAUGGAAGCCCACUGAGAAAUCUCCGAAUACAUGUUCCACUAAGAGCUUCCAAAAAUAAAUGGGAAAAAAGGAGAAAUGGGGACACCCAUCUUCUUCACAGAGAGGGAAACUGAGGACCAGCAAAGGGGAAUAUAUGACUGAGAUACUAUGGCAGAAGCAAAUAUUGGCUGAGCUGUUCAAACCCAGAAUAGGAUGGGUUUCUUGAAAGCAGUUUGCCUGGGAGCUGUCUCUAUGUCUCCAGUAUGAUGAUUUUUCUCCUUUAUAAUUGCUCUUCAGCUGUUUUUGAUCCCUAGGUAAGUUCUUAUUUUGCCAUGCCUCAAUAGUCAAGAAAAUUAAAGAAUUGCUGAAGGUUAUGCAGUGCUAUCUGGGGACUGUGUCUCCAUCUGGCCUUUUAGUUAAUCAACCCAAGGCCAGGCAAGGCUACAUCCUGUGGACAGAAUACUCAGAGAAAAUUCCCUCUAAAUUACUCAGGAUGUGAGCACAUUCCACACCUUUUCCAUGCACUGGUUGAGUGUCUUUGGGCGGGUGGUGGGGGGUGGUGAGGUGCUUAUUUUAAGGCAAACUUUUAUAUUUUUUUAAACACAGGAGUAAGGUUUGUUCAUUUGCUUAGCAGCCAAGGGAAGGGAAAAAUUAGUCACUUCACAGUUUAGUAUUAAUAUUUGCCCAGUUCUUUGUGGCUGCCUCUGCCUGAUAAAGCAGUGCAAAGGGAAAUGAUAUGUUCCAGGUCACGUCUGAAUGGAAUGAGACUUUUGCUGGGGAGAGCCUUUGUGAGGCAGUGUCCCAGAGAGAGUUUGGGGGAAAUUCUCAAUGGACUGAAGGCCCUUCAUUUUUCUAACCUGUACUACUAUGUAACAACUCCAGCUCUGAUAUAGGAGUGCUUUGUAGGUAUUGUUCAUCAGUGUAGGUUGAUUGUGUGAAUAUGAUAAACCAAAGUGGUUUAUAUUUAGCAAAAAUACCAAAGUUCUUAACUAAUAUUGUAGACGUUCAUCUCUAUGAACUGUUUAAGAUAAUGACAAGGAAGGGUGGUGGUAGACAUUUAAGUAUAUAACAUAGCAGGGCUGGGCUACUGCUCAGAGAAAAGGAGCCUCAGAGUACUGGGAGGGAAUGUUCCAGAGACAGAAGUAGGGGGCAGGCCCCCACCCCCUGUCUCCCAUGAGCUUCCAACAACUGAUGGUUUGGGCUCCUGGCUGUCACCUCAUAAAUCAGAGUACAUCUAAUUGAGAGAUAAAAACCAUCUCCCAGUGGCCUUCAUUGUCCUCUUCCUGCUAAAAAUUCUGUGGAGACCUCUCCUCCCCACCCACCCCCAUACAUACUCCACUGUCCACUCAGCUGACCACAUGUCCCCAAGAGCUGCUGCAGCCUGACCAGUCCUCUUGGAGCCAGGAAUCAGAAGAAAAGAUGAUUUGAUUUCCUCCUUUCCUACCCUCCCUUUCUCUUUUUCUUGCAAUUCUCCAUAUACAUGGAGGAACAUCUUUCUAAAGAAGUAAGUGCUUGCUUUUUGUCCUCGGUCCCUGAGUACUCUUUGGGCAAAAUGUUUGUUACAAAGGAAAUGGAGAGCUUUAAUGGGGCUUUUGAAAUUCAAACCCUCCCAAACAGGAUUUAAGGUCGCCCAGUGUGAAAGCUUCAGCUGUUCUGUUAGACGCUGGACAGGGAUAUGUGGUGGGAAGAGGAGGGAAUAGAACACUUAGAAAUAAAAGACCCUGGUUUCAGGAAUCUUGUAUUUUAGUGGGGGUAAGGCAUACAAAGGUGUCUGAAUAAAAUUAGGGAAGAGUGACUUAAACCAGCCAUGCAUAACAGCCAUUAUAAAGUUAGAGACACAUUCGCGAGGGAGGCAGUUCUGGAUUCUCAGAACAUCUGAGCUCAGAAUCUACCUUCGUCCUCUUCCUGGCUGUGGGAGGGAUGCUGGGCAGUUCACAUCAUUUUUUUUUAGUGCAUUUUUCAUGUAUAGAAUCAGGAUAGGAGGUGCAUUUGGCUCUAAUAAAUAUACUUUGGUAGAAUAAUAACA